Molecule: ribosomal RNA, 253 nt
Filed under: uncultured bacterium
Lineage: Bacteria
Description: partial 16S ribosomal RNA
Rfam family: Bacterial small subunit ribosomal RNA
Source: RNAcentral
UACGUAGGGCGCAAGCGUUGUCCGGAAUUAUUGGGCGUAAAGAGCUCGUAGGCGGUCUGUUACGUCCGCUGUGAAAACCCAGGGCUUAACCCUGGGCUUGCAGUGGAUACGGGUAGACUAGAGGCAGGUAGGGGAGAAUGGAAUUCCCGGUGUAGCGGUGAAAUGCGUAGAUAUCGGGAGGAAUACCGAUGGCGAAGGCAGGUCUCUGGGCUGACACUGACGCUCAUGCACGAAAGCGUGGGGAGCAAACAGG